UGGGGAAUAUUGCACAAUGGGCGCAAGCCUGAUGCAGCAAUGCCGCGUGAGUGAAGACGGCCUUAGGGUUGUAAAACUCUUUCGCUAGGGAAGAUAAUGACGGUACCUAGUAAAGAAGUCCCGGCUAACUCCGUGCCAGCAGCCGCGGUAAUACGGAGGGGGUUAGCGUUGUUCGGAAUUACUGGGCGUAAAGCGCACGUAGGCGGACCAGAAAGUUGGGGGUGAAAUCCCGGGGGCUCAACCCCGGAACUGCCUCCAAAACUAUUGGUCUAGAGUUCGAGAGAGGUGAGUGGAAUUCCAAGUGUAGAGGUGAAAUUCGUAGAUAUUUGGAGGAACACCAGUGGCGAAGGCGGCUCACUGGCUCGAUACUGACGCUGAGGUGCGAAAGUGUGGGGAGCAAACAGGAUUAGAUACCCUGGUAGUCCACACCGUAAAACGAUGAAUGCCAGUCGUCGGGUAGCAUGCUAUUCGGUGACACACCUAACGGAUUAAGCAUUCCGCCUGGGGAGUACGGUCGCAAGAUUAAAA
This 528-nucleotide ribosomal RNA is filed under the name uncultured bacterium. Its description in RNAcentral is "bacterial SSU rRNA". It matches the Rfam family "Bacterial small subunit ribosomal RNA", at positions 355 to 899 of the family's 1533-position model. The record is from RNAcentral.